ACGGAGGGUGCAAACGUUGCUCGGAAUCAUUGGGCGUAAAGCGCACGUAGGUGGCCUGUUAAGUCGGGUGUGAAAUCCCUGGGCUCAACCCAGGAAGUGCACUCGAAACUGGCAGGCUUGAGUACUGAAGAGGGUCGCGGAAUUCCCGGUGUAGAGGUGAAAUUCGUAGAUAUCGGGAGGAACACCAGUGGCGAAGGCGGCGACCUGGACGGACACUGACGCUGAGACGCGAAAGCGUGGGGAGCAAACAGGA
Molecule: ribosomal RNA, 253 nt
Filed under: uncultured prokaryote
Description: partial 16S ribosomal RNA
Rfam family: Bacterial small subunit ribosomal RNA
Source: RNAcentral